This 392-nucleotide transfer-messenger RNA is filed under the name Candidatus Omnitrophica bacterium ADurb.Bin277. Its description in RNAcentral is "transfer-messenger RNA, SsrA". It matches the Rfam family "transfer-messenger RNA". Rfam says of the family: Bacterial tmRNA, also known as 10Sa RNA or SsrA, is named for its dual tRNA and mRNA-like properties. Its role is to liberate the mRNA from a stalled ribosome. The record is from RNAcentral. Lineage: Bacteria; Pseudomonadati; Candidatus Omnitrophota.
GGGGGUGAACAGGUUCGACAGGGGAUCAGGCAUACAAGGGAGCAUGCAGAGGUUCGUCAGGUUCCUCUUAAAUCAACGUGGCAAACUACAAAUGCUGAAAAACUCAGCUGGAACGAAAGAGCGGUCGGGCCGAUCUCGGCUCCCGUGUUCGUUCCUCUCGCUGUCUAAGGACUAGCGACGUCACGGGGCUAACGCCCGCUAGGUUCCGCUGACGACAUUAGCGGGAUGCUCUUCCGGCAUGUCCGUUUUGCCGGGGGAAAAGACCUAAACGGAUCGUUCCUCAAGUUCCUGUCCGCAUGGGUUUGGGGAAUUAAACGAAAUGGGGACUGAGCAUGGAGAACCUUUGGUGACGGAUCUUUUGGACGAGGGUGCAAUUCCCUCCACCUCCACCA